RNAcentral lists this ribosomal RNA (253 nucleotides) under uncultured bacterium. RNAcentral's name for it is "partial 16S ribosomal RNA". It matches the Rfam family "Bacterial small subunit ribosomal RNA", at positions 524 to 776 of the family's 1533-position model. The record is from RNAcentral.
UACAGAGGGUGCAAGCGUUGUUCGGAAUCAUUGGGCGUAAAGCGCGUGUAGGCGGCCACCUAAGUCUGGUGUGAAAGCCCAGGGCUUAACCCUGGAAGUGCACUGGAUACUGGGUGGCUAGAGGACGAGAGAGGACAAUGGAAUUCAUGGUGUAGGGGUGAAAUCCGUAGAUAUCAUGAGGAACAUCUGUGGCGAAGGCGAUUGUCUGGCUCGUUUCUGACGCUGAGACGCGAAAGCGUGGGGAGCAAACAGG